AAAACGGAUCAUUGACUUGACUGAUCGUGACUGUUAUGAAACCAGUUUUCUUUUACAGUUCGGCGAGUAAACAUUGAAGAUAUUUCUUUCGAAACAUCUAAGAUGUUUAUAAAAUAUCAAUAAUUCCGCAAAUUAAAUUAAUUAAUUAAAUUAAGAUAAUUAAAUUAAUUUAAAGAGGCAUUAAAUAUAAUAUAAUAUAACUUCCUUUCAGCCUUCGUCGAUUAUUUAAUGUUAACAAGAAGAAACCAUGCGAGUUAUCAUGUCAGUUUCCUUUCUUACUCCGAGGAUUAAACGUCAAAAUACACUCUUUACAAAUUCCUACAUUUAAUCAUCUUAUAGAUAAAAACUUCAUUGCAAUCACGUGCAUAGCGAUGAAGUAAUUGAGUGUUUGUUUCGUUAAAAUAAAAAUAUCGCGAAAUAAAAGCAUUGUUUGUUCGUUCGCGUUUUGCGAUUUAUAUAACAAAUAUUUUUGCAUCGAUUACGUACAGUGCAGUUGUUAUAUUCAAAAAGCAAAGUCCUAUUGGAAACUUCGUUUUAUUUGUUCGAAAAUUUGAUUAGAUUAUCUCGCGAACGCGGAUUCUAGAGUAGAGGCACCAUUAGCCAGCCCGUGGGUCUCCACAUGCAGCAACUUCCACAUAGUGAGACCUGGGUCGCCAAAAGGUAUCGGAGUUAAUCUUGCAAACAGUACAACUUUAAAAGCUUGUGGACCUGAAAUUACUCUAAGUAUUGCUCUUGCAGUAUCACUUUGUAAUAAUGCUCCGAUUGGCAGUUUAGAAGAGAAAGCACCC
Long non-coding RNA from Vespa mandarinia (Asian giant hornet), 788 nucleotides. NCBI's taxonomy places the organism in Eukaryota, Metazoa, Arthropoda, Insecta, Hymenoptera, Vespidae. The record is from RefSeq and is a predicted model, not a curated record.